Camellia sinensis is the source of this 272-nucleotide non-coding RNA. Lineage: Eukaryota; Viridiplantae; Streptophyta; Magnoliopsida; Ericales; Theaceae. The record is from RefSeq and is a predicted model, not a curated record.
UUUCCAAAUAAGGAUCACAAGGUUUGGUACUUUCCGACCCAUGUAUCGCAAAAGAUUUUGUGUCAACCUUCUGAUGACACAAUGAAAGAUAUAGUAGAAGAUUAUUUUGGAAUUUACAGAUACACUGGCCCCCUUCAUGCUUGUGAGGAGAUUUACAUGCCCUUCAACCAUAGGGAAAACCACUGGUUGUGCUUGAAUGUAAACAUGGAAAAAUGGGUUGCCUAUCUAUUCGACUCCAGCAGAUGUAUUGACAUCGAUGAGGAUCGAAAAAA